GAGAAAGACAUAGUGGUUAUGAUAUUGGCUUGAAACCAGUUAGAGGGGGUUCGAUU
Molecule: transfer RNA, 56 nt
Filed under: Haringtonhippus francisci
Lineage: Eukaryota; Metazoa; Chordata; Mammalia; Perissodactyla; Equidae
Description: partial tRNA-Ser
Source: RNAcentral